AGAGUUUGAUCAUGGCUCAGAUUGAACGCUGGCGGCAGGCCUAACACAUGCAAGUCGAGCGGUAGAGAGAAGCUUGCUUCUCUUGAGAGCGGCGGACGGGUGAGUAAUGCCUAGGAAUCUGCCUAGUGGUGGGGGAUAACGUUCGGAAACGGACGCUAAUACCGCAUACGUCCUACGGGAGAAAGCGGGGGAUCUUCGGACCUCGCGCCAUUAGAUGAGCCUAGGUCGGAUUAGCUAGUUGGUGAGGUAAUGGCUCACCAAGGCGACGAUCCGUAACUGGUCUGAGAGGAUGAUCAGUCACACUGGAACUGAGACACGGUCCAGACUCCUACGGGAGGCAGCAGUGGGGAAUAUUGGACAAUGGGCGAAAGCCUGAUCCAGCCAUGCCGCGUGUGUGAAGAAGGUCUUCGGAUUGUAAAGCACUUUAAGUUGGGAGGAAGGGCAGUAACCUAAUACGUUAUUGUUUUGACGUUACCGACAGAAUAAGCACCGGCUAACUUCGUGCCAGCAGCCGCGGUAAUACGAAGGGUGCAAGCGUUAAUCGGAAUUACUGGGCGUAAAGCGCGCGUAGGUGGUUCAGUAAGUUGGAAGUGAAAUCCCCGGGCUCAACCUGGGAACUGCUUUCAAAACUGCUGAGCUAGAGUACGGUAGAGGGUGGUGGAAUUUCCUGUGUAGCGGUGAAAUGCGUAGAUAUAGGAAGGAACACCAGUGGCGAAGGCGACCACCUGGACUGCUACUGACACUGAGGUGCG
RNAcentral lists this ribosomal RNA (752 nucleotides) under uncultured bacterium. RNAcentral's name for it is "bacterial SSU rRNA". It matches the Rfam family "Bacterial small subunit ribosomal RNA", at positions 8 to 755 of the family's 1533-position model. The record is from RNAcentral.